RNAcentral lists this ribosomal RNA (497 nucleotides) under uncultured bacterium. Its description in RNAcentral is "partial 16S ribosomal RNA". It matches the Rfam family "Bacterial small subunit ribosomal RNA", at positions 28 to 505 of the family's 1533-position model. The record is from RNAcentral.
GAUGAACGCUGGCGGCGUGCCUAAUACAUGCAAGUCGAGCGAACUUUUGGGAGUUUGCUCCCAAAAGUUAGCGGCGGACGGGUGAGUAACACGUGGGUAACCUGCCUGUAAGACUGGGAUAACUUCGGGAAACCGGAGCUAAUACCGGAUAACAUUGAAGACCACAUGGCCUUCAAUUAAAAGGUGGCUUUUAGCUACCACUUACAGAUGGACCCGCGGGGCAUUAGCAAGUUGGUGAGGUAACGGCCUACCAAGGCGACGAUGAGUAGCCGAACUGUGAGGGUGAUCCGCCACCCUGGGACCGAGACCAGGUCCCAGAUCCCUAGGGAGGGAGGCGUGGGGAAUUCUGCCCAAAGGGAGAAAAGUUGAACGAGCCAUCGCCGCUGUGGGGAGGAGGGCUUCCGAUUCGAAAAGCUCUUUUGUUGGGAAAGAACGCAGUAAGUUCAAAUAGUGCGGUACCUAGGUGGUCCCUAACCAGAAAGCCGCGGCAAAUCGCG